CAUAUGUCUACAUUGUGUUUGUUAAAUAUGCUUUUGCACAUUCAGUUUAUUAGGAAAUAUAAAUACGUCUGGACUCUGAAAGUGAGCUCAGACACACAUUAGAUCCAAGCACAGCACCUUGAUCAUGUCCAGCACACAGCUGAGGAAGUCAUGGGCAUCCUGCACAGAAAAAAACUGGUUCAGAAGGGGAAUCCACUGAUUCCAGCGUCACCAAACCCUCUGGAAAGAACAAAAGUAAACAGGCUCCCACCGUGUCCAGCUGGAUUCAACUGCCUUGAAAUCGGCACAUCGAUUUUGGCAGUGACGUCAGCGAUGGACUCCACGGCGCAGAAACGGCUGCCAAUUUCAAGCACAUCUGAUUCACAAUGGGGAAUUACAGGUGAAUAAAC
Long non-coding RNA from Amphiprion ocellaris (clown anemonefish), 389 nucleotides. Lineage: Eukaryota; Metazoa; Chordata; Actinopteri; Pomacentridae. The record is from Ensembl.